UACGGAGGGUGCGAGCGUUAAUCGGAAUCACUGGGCGUAAAGCGCGUGUAGGCGGCCUCUUAAGUCUGAUGUGAAAGCCCGGGGCUCACCCCCGGAAGUGCAUUGGAGACUGGGGUGCUGGAGUACCGGAGAGGAGGGUGGAAUUCCUGGUGUAGCGGUGAAAUGCGUAGAUAUCAGGAGGAACACCGGUGGCGAAGGCGGCCCUCUGGUCGGAUACUGACGAUGAGACGCGACAGCGUGGGGAGCAAACAGG
This 253-nucleotide ribosomal RNA is filed under the name uncultured bacterium. Its description in RNAcentral is "partial 16S ribosomal RNA". It matches the Rfam family "Bacterial small subunit ribosomal RNA", at positions 524 to 776 of the family's 1533-position model. The record is from RNAcentral.